AGAGUUUGAUCAUGGCUCAGGAUGAACGCUAGCGGCAGGCUUAACACAUGCAAGUCGAGCGGUAAGCCACCUUCGGGUGGCCUAGAGCGGCAAACGGGUGCGGAACACGUACGCAAUCUACCCUUAGCUGGAGGAUAGCCCGAAGAAAUUCGGAUUAAUACUCCAUAAAAUAGCAGAGUGGCAUCACUCAAUUAUUAAAGAAUUUCGGCUAAGGAUGAGCGUGCGUCCCAUUAGGUAGUUGGUAGGGUAAUGGCCUACCAAGCCGACGAUGGGUAGCUGGUGUGAGAGCACGACCAGCCACACUGGUACUGAGACACGGACCAGACUCCUACGGGAGGCAGCAGUGAGGAAUAUUGGGCAAUGGACGAAAGUCUGACCCAGCCAUGCCGCGUGGAGGAUGAGGGCCCUCUGGGUUGUAAACUUCUUUUAUUGGGGAAGAAAAGCACUGUUUCUACGGUGUCCGACGGUACCCAAGGAAUAAGCACCGGCUAACUCCGUGCCAGCAGCCGCGGUAAUACGGAGGGUGCAAGCGUUAUCCGGAUUUACUGGGUUUAAAGGGUGCGUAGGCGGGUGGGUAAGUCAGAGGUGAAAUCUCCAAGCUUAACUUGGAAACUGCCCCUGAUACUAUCCAUCUUGAAUAUCGAUGAGGCGGGCGGAAUACAUCAUGUAGCGGUGAAAUGCUUAGAUAUGAUGUAGAACACCGAUUGCGAAGGCGCUCGCUAACCGAUUAUUGACGCUGAGGACGAAAGCGUGGGGAUCAAACAGGAUUAGAUACCCNNGUAGUCC
RNAcentral lists this ribosomal RNA (786 nucleotides) under uncultured bacterium. RNAcentral describes it as "bacterial SSU rRNA". It matches the Rfam family "Bacterial small subunit ribosomal RNA", at positions 8 to 796 of the family's 1533-position model. The record is from RNAcentral.